RNAcentral lists this long non-coding RNA (23861 nucleotides) under Ananas comosus (pineapple). RNAcentral's name for it is "long non-coding RNA (ACOM_LNC004150)". Lineage: Eukaryota; Viridiplantae; Streptophyta; Magnoliopsida; Poales; Bromeliaceae. The record is from RNAcentral.
AGUGGCCAGUUUAUCUUUUCAUGAGUGAACUGGAAAUAAAUGAGUAAAUAAAAACUGAUAGGUCGGGUCUAGGGCUGGCAAACGAGCGAGCCGGCUCGCAUUCGACUCGCGUUCGGCUCGAUAUUCGGCUCGCUCGAGCUCGGCUCGAAAUUAGAUGAGCCGAGCUUGAACAAAAAAAAAAGCUCGAAAUUCAUUUCAAGCCGAGCUUGAGUAUUACUCGGCUCGCUCGAAUUAGGCUCGAAAAGCUCGAAUAUAUAUAUAUGUAAACUAAGUGAGUAACCUAAGUUUAGUUAAAAUUGAGCCAAUAUUACUGGCCCAUAAGAACAAACCCAAUAUGCCAACAAAAAAUUAAAUUUUACUAAAUUUACACUCUCUUCCUCUUUUUCUUUUACAAAGCCUUAAAUUCCUUAUCUCUCUCUCUCUCUCUCUCUCUCUCUAUCUCUCUCUCCUCAAGCGGUCAAACCUAAAGCCCCCCAAGUUAUCAAGUAACAGCACGCGUCCGCUGUUGCCUACCUUGCCAUUAAUUGUGUGCUUGAGAAAAUAUACAGAAUACUUUUAAGAUAAAAAAUUAUUGUUUAUAUAAAAUUUUGAUUUUAGUUAUAUAUAAUUAGAUAGUUUAAUCUAAUAUUUGUCUAUAAUUUAUUCAUUUUUUGACCGCAUAGAUGAAAAAGAAUAAUAUGAAAAUUGAAGGCGGAAAAGAAGACAUGCGAAGCUGAAAAGAUUAGAUAUUCAACUCGUAAAUUAUUUUUCUUCAUAUUAUAAUACCGUAUUUCAUAUAAUUAUUUUGUAUCUUGAACUAUUAGAUAUAUUUUUGUAUCAAAUUGUAAAUAAUGUUCUAUACAAAUUAAACUAUUAAUCGUACGAUGUUGAGAAUUUCAAGCGGCUCGCUUAGGGCUCAAGCUCGCUCGACUUGAAAUUAGGCUCGCUCGAGUUCGGCUCGCAUUAAUUUCAAGCCGAGCUUGAGCUUAAAUUUAGGCUCGAAAUUAAUUUCAAGCCGAAUUUGAGCUAAGGCAAACUCGCUCGGGCUCGGCUCGUUUCCACCCCUAGUGGGGUCAAAGGAUCUAUAGUCUAUAAACUUAAAUUUAAGUGAUAGGUAGGUCCCACAUAAGCCCGGAGUAACCAAAUGCUGCCACGUGGACAAAGAUUAUGGGAUUUAAUAUAGAUUUAUAGAAGAUUAUAGAUAGAAAAAAAUUAGUGGCCAGUUUAUCUUUUCAUGAGUGAACCGGAAAUAAAUGAGUAGAUAAAAACUAAUAGGUGAGGUCAAAGGACUUAUAAUCUAUAAACUUAAAUUUAAGUGAUAGGUAGGUCCCACAUAAGCCCAGAUUAACCAAAUGCUGCCACGUGAAUAAAGAUUAUCGAAUUUAAUAUAGAUUUAUUUAUAGAUUAUAGAUGGAAGGAAAUUAGUGGUCGAUUUAUCUUCCCAUGAGUGAAAUGGAAGUAAAUGGGUAGAUAAAAACUAAUAGAUGGGGUCAAAGGAUCUAUAAUCUAUAAACUUAAAUUUAAGUUAUAGGUAGGUCCCACAUAAGCCCGGAUUAACCAAAUGUUGUUUAUGAAAUUUAAUAUAGGUUUAUAGAUUAUAGACGAUUCAAUGGAAGGAAAUUAGUAGCCGAUUUAUCUUCCCAUGAGUGAACCGAAAAUAAAUGAGUAGAUAAAAACUGGUAGGUGGGGUCAAUGGAUCUAUAAUCUAUAAAAUUAAAUUUAAGUGACAGAUAGGUCCCACAUAAAUCCGGAUUAACCAAAUGCUGUCACGUGGACAUAGAUUAUGGGAUUUAAUAUAUGUUUAUGUUUAUAGAUUAUAGAUUAUAGAUAUUGUUCGGUAAUUAAUUAUUAAAAUAUAAUAAUAAUAUCGUCAUAUCAUCUAGCUAUAUCUAUUUUGCUAAAUUAAAGAAGGGUAGUAGGGGUGUAAAAUGGGGGCCGCCCGGCCCAGCACAGUUGUGGGCCGCGCCAUGCACGGCUACUGUAGCAUCGUGACGGGCCGGGCCGGCCCGGCUCUAUGGGACGUGCUGGGACAUAUAUUCUUGGCCGACUACUCGGCCGCCAUGACCUGAUACAGGCCUGGCCGUGCUGGGCCGAAGGAGGCCCGUGGCCCACAGCACGGCAUGGCCUGCUUGAGCUGUGCCAGCCUGGGCAGCAAGGCUUGAACCCCAAGGCCAAGCUGGGCCUUGGGUUGGAUCUCUUGGGGAGAAGGGCGACCUUUGGAGAAGGUUUUGGUCCAAUAGCCCAAACAAUUUGGUCCAUGUUUGCGUCCAUUGGACUAAAAACACUCUCUAAUUUUUUUUCAAAAAAAUAAAAAUAUAUAUAUAUUUUUAAAAAAUAUAAAUAUUUAUUAUAUUAAUAAUUAUUUUUAUAAAUUUUAAUUUUUAAUAGAAAAAUUUAUUUGUUUACUUUUUAAUUUUAUAUAUUUUUUAAAAAAUAAAAAAUUAAAAUCUUUUUAAUGGCCGCCGAAGCACGGCCUGGGCCUCCAAGCGAAGGGCCAUGCUGGGUCCGACAUUUGGUAGCUUUGGCCCGGCACGGCCCCGGCCGAACUUGAAUAUCAGGCCGAGCAGGCCAGCCCUCUGGCCCAAAUCAAACACGAAAAAUAGGCACGACCCUCAUUACCCGCCCUCUAUUUUUAGAGGACAUGUGUCCCCAACUCCUCUCGUUCUCUCUCUCCCUCUCUGUAUAUAAUAUAAUAUAUAUAAUUAUAUAUAUAUAUAAUAUAAUAUAUAUAAUAUAUAUAUAUAUAUUAUAUUAGUUUUAAAAUUUUUAUGAUAUAAAAUUUCAGAUUUUUUAUAUCAAAAUUAAAAUUUUGAUACUUUCAAUUUCAAAUUUAAUUUAUAAUAUUUUAUUUCUAAAUUUUUAACUUCAAAAUUUAAAAUUUAAAUACCUAAAGUCUAUAAAUUAAUUAAUCAAUUUUAUUAAUAUUAAUUAUAUAUAAUAUAAUCAAGUUAUAUUAUUAAUAAUACACAUAAUAAAUCAUGUAAUAAAAUCUAAUAUGAUAAAUACAAUUUAAAUCACAUAAAAUAUCGAUGUAUAAAAAAAUACAAAAUUUAAAUUUCAGAAGUAUGAGUUAGGAAAUAUGGUGUGUGUGUAUGUGUAUAUAUAAAAUUAAUUUUAUUAAACAAUUUCUUCUACUAUUUUAUUUUCCUUCUAUUUAUUGAUUUUUUAAAAAAUUAUUUUGAUCGAUUUAUCUCAAACCUUUUUCAAUAAAUCUUUAUAAAAUAAGUUAUUGGAUAAAUUUACAUUGCACAUAUGCCAAUUUUAAUGUCUUUUAUUUAAAUAGAUUUAACUAUUAAAUUUUUUUUAUAUAACUUUUAUGUAAUUAAUAAUUAGGCUUAUAAAACUAUUUAAAAAAUAUAAAAAAGAUAAAAUUUAUUAUAAAAAUAUUUUUAUAUCAGCGGCAUUGCGCGGGUUCUUCAGUAGUAAGCAAUAUUCUAAGGUAUAUUUGGGGUACCCGUAGCAGCACUCUUUUUACAGUUUAUCUAAUUUUAGGUCUAAUUUAGGGACAGCGGAUUCAAACUAGGCUUUGCUUGAAAUUUUUUUUUUUUAAAAAAAUAAUCCAACUCCAACUCACCCAUUAGCCAAAAAAAUAAAAUUUAGACAACAACAAUUAUUUACUUUGCUGAUACGGCUCUUCUCUGGGAGGCACCCGAACAAAUUUAAUAUGAUAUAAUAUAUAAAACAAAUUCAAACCAUUAGAUCCGAAUCUAAAGGUAAAAAAAAUACUCACACACUUUUAUAAUCUAAGUCAAAAUAUAUAUUUUCUUAUAACCCAAAACAUAAUAUUUAAAAAUAAAAAUCUUUCUAUUUUCCAAACACUCUCCAUCUCCAAACCCUAAUAGCUAAAACAUCAAAAAAGAACUAUUUCAAAGCCUCUAUUUUCCAAACACUUUCAAUCUGCAAACCCUAAUAGUUAAAACAUUAAUGAGAGGAAGGUAGCAUGCUACCGCUUCAUUUAUUAAGGACUUGAAUUUAGCAAACUGUGGGAAGCAACAGGGCUUCCACACACACACACACACACCAAAAAAAAAAAAAAAAAAAAAAAAAAAAAAGAAGAGAACUAGAGAAGUGGUUAUAGACUUGUAGUCUCUUGUUCAUUUUUUUUCAAGAGGGUAUUUUGGUUUAUUGUUUUCUCUCCAAAACCGCAAUCUCAAACCUAAGAGGAAAAAAGAUGAGAAUUUUUUUUAAAAAAAAUUGAAAAUUAAAGCUGCUUCUUUGAUGUGGGUUUUUUUUAUUCUUCAUAUAUGUCUUUUUAGUUCUUUUAGGUUCUUAGACAAGGAAACUAUCUUUUCUUAGAAAAUUUUUAAAAAGUUUUUGUUUUAUUUUUUUUUCUUAACUAGUAUUUUUAACUUUACUCUCGUGGAUUUUCUGGGUUGUUGGACAAUGAACCUUUUUUAAAAAAAAUUUUAAAAAAUCUUUUGUUUUUAGUUUUAUAUAAUAUGUUUCGAAAUUUGGUAUAUAUUAUUUUUGGGUUCGGAUUUUUGGGUUUAGAAUUGGGCUUCUGGUUUUUGGUCAGAUUCGGGUUUGUUUUGGAUUUGGGUUCGAGUUUUCGGAUUCGGGUUCGGGUUUCGAAUUUUUGGUCGGGUUCGGAUUUCGAUAUGGAUUUUUAAAAUCCAUCGGGUUCGGUUCGGGUUCGGGUUACGGAUUUGGUAGUCGGGUCCGGAUUCGGGUUUUUAAAAAUUCGCCCCGAAUCCGACCCGUUGACAUCCCCAUGCGGCGACGACAACAGUGGUGGAGUGGGAGGCGUGGUUGCUAGAGACGAGCAAAGCGAAGGGGAAGAGGGAGGGGGAGGAGGACUCGCAUUUAGGCAUCUUGCCACCGUCGUGCUUGAUGAUCUUGUCGAACACGGCGCCAGCAUUGGUGGUGGCGGUGGUGCCUCCGCCGGGUGGAAGUAGGACGAGCCUCGCAUGGGGGAGGUAGGUCAUCUUCGGGUUUCGAUGCUUCGGCACCGCGCGUGAGAUGGAGAGGCUCGCGCUAGUGAGAGUGGUCAUCAUAGAAGGUAGAGAGAGAGUGCGGCUAGGAUGCUUAUGGAAGCACGGAGAGCUCCGUGCUUCCACUUUGUUUUCGAUGCUCAGACUUUCGAAUCGACGAUCGGCUCUGUUAGACUUGAUCUAGAGUAUUUAAAAUAUCUAAAAAAUAAAUUUUGUGAUUUUUCGAUAUCAUUUGCCUAGUGAUCGAAGUGGCUCAAAAUCAACGGUUGAAAAUAAAAAUCUUACAAAAUAUGAUGAUAUGACAAUAAAAUUUUAGAUCAAAGUUAUUGAUCUUGUUUUAUAUAGUAUAAAGAAUUUUCUAUCAAAAUUUCAUGUGAUUUGGAUAUUUCUACACCGUUAAACUUGCAACCAGCUCACCACGGCCGUUAAAAUUAUUGAUUUUGAGCCCCUUCGAUCACUAGGAAAUCGAUAUCGAAAAUCACAAAAUUUAUUUCUAGGUAUUUCAAAUAUCUAGAUCAACUCUAACGGAGCCGAUCGUCGAUUCGAAAGUUCGAACAUCAAAACAACUUGAAAGCACGAAGAACUCCGUGCUUCAUAAGCCUACCAGCCUCAAUAUAUAUAUAUAUAUAUAGGUGGAAUAAUAUCAAUAGCACUAAGUAUUGGUGUAUUAGUUUUUUAGCCCUUGGAUUGAAAAAUAUGCCGUUAGGAUGAUAUGGGCCCCCUUGUACUAUAUAAAAGUGAAGGUACUAUGCUAUCGGAAGCACGGAGCCUUCCGUGCUUCAGCUCGUUUCGAUGUUGCGACUUUCGAAUCGUCAAUCGGCUCCGUUAACUUGAUCUAGAGUAUUUGAAGUACCUAGAAAAUAAAUUUUAUGAUUUAUGAUAUCAUUUGCUAGUGAACGAAGGGCUCAAAAUAAUGGCUAAAAAUAAAAAUCUUACAAAAUGUAAUAAUAUGACAUUAAAAUUUUAAAUCAAAGAUAUUGAUCUUGUUUUAUAUAGUUAUAAAGAAUUUUCUAUCAAAAUUACACGUGAUUUGGAUAUUUUUACACUGUUAACUUACAAACGGUUCACUACGGCCGUUGAAAUUUGUUGAUUUUGAGUUUCAUUCGAUCACUAGGCAAAUGAUAUCGAAAAAUAAUAAAAUUUAUUUUCUAGGUACUCCAAAUACUUUAGAUCAAGUUUAACGGAGCCAAUCGACGAUUCGAAAGUCGCAACAUCGAAAACGAGCUAAAAGCACGGAAGGCUCCGUGCUUCCGAUAGCAUAGUAGCUUACACUAUAUAUAUAUAUAUAUAUAUAUAUAUAUAUAUAUAUAUUAUAUAUAUAUAUAUAUAUAGUGUAGAGGUAUACACUUUGAAUAAAAAAAUUUACGGUUGGGAUGAUAGCGGUCCCUUUAGGGUUGGGGUGUCCUCUAGGAUUGAGUGGGUUCCCAUUAGUUUAAUAUUAAUUCAAUGGUUAGAAUAAUCAAAAGAGUUGAUCUAAGGGUCAAAAAUCAAAAGUACAGAUCCUUUAAAAUUCCGAUAGAUAUAGUAGCUCUACUCUCUCUCUCUCUCUCUCUCUCUCUCUCUCUCUCUCUCUCUCUCUCUCUAUAUAUAUAUAUAUAUAUAUAUAUAUAUAUGUGUGUGUGUGUACGGCUAAGUUAAUGAAGCUGGAAUCUCUACUGUAAACCCAUGCCUAAUUAAGCUCUUAAUUAAGUCCAAGCGGUUCAUGCUUCUUUGGGGUUGGUGGUCACGUUGCGGGGACACGGCUCUAAUUAAGCCAUGCAUGUUGGUCAGUACCGUCACAGCCGCAACCCAAAUUAUAUGCCAUAAAAAUUAAUUAAGGAAAGAAGUCACUUUGGAGUCCGUACUGUUGAGAGGGCAAGUUGUUGGGGUGUUUUUUAUACGAUGCGACUUUUGGCGUUUUCGAUCUAUUUAAAGUUUUGAUCUUUUUAGAGAUUUUUUUUUUGUGUUUUACCUUUCGAUAUUAAUAAAAUAUUUAUUUCAUCUUCAUCCGAAGAUAUAAGCUGUCGGCCGAACCACGUAAAUUUCGCUAUACUCUUUACUUUUCUUUUUUUUCCCUGCAUUAAGUUUUUUUUCUAGAUCUAUUUUGCGUCGUUCCGAUUUUUACAUACAGUGUAAUUUUUUUGCAAAACAAUAUAAUUUUAUUUGUGCAACUAUUAUCUUUUUAUUCUUUCUUCUGUAAUUCUUAGACUUUUCUAUAAGAGCGGCAAUAUAUAAUAAGUCUUUAGAGGAAAAAAAAAAUUUCUUCAUUUUUUAUUUACUUUUAUUUUUUUCUAUUUUCUAUAUCUUUUUUCGCUUCUUGGAGAUGGACACGUCUUCCUCCUUAUUCUCACGGGCGGCGAGUACCUCCUCGGCCAUGACUCAUCGCUUUCGUCCGAUCUGCUGUCACUCGCACCCAUUCCGAAAUCUCCUCCUCUGACACCAUGUCGACGCUGGCGGUGGCGGUGGCGGUGGCGGUGGCUAUGAGUUCUUCUCCUCCGGCAUCGAUGUCGGUACCGAUGCGGAGGGUGGAGACGAAGGAAGAGAAGAUAGCACUGCCCUCGUUAUCGUCGCCGAGUAUAGAAGGGAUCAGAAAUUAAAAAAAAAUAAAUGAAAGAAAAAAAAAGAGUGAGAAAAUUGAAUAAGAAUAUUUUGAUCAGUUGCUAAAAAUUCAGUCCGAAUAUGUAAAACCCAAAUAGUAGCUUGCUUUUGCAAAAUCGUAAAACUAGAGAUUUUCUUUUAUGGAAAUUGACCUAAAUUUAUAAGACAACCAAAUUACAAUGUCAGAUAUUUUCUAGCUCUCGUUAGAAAGAGAAGAAUGUGUGUAACAUCUAAUCUUAUUGCAUAUUUAACCAAAUUUACAUAUGAGCCUGUACUAUAGAGAGAAAAUUAAAAUCAUCUAAUUCUAUUUUACUCAAAAAUAACACUACGUACAGAACAUAAUUAUCACACAAAUUAUUUUUAAAGCAAUUAAAGUUAAAGUAUGCAAUUGUUAAGCGUAAAUAAAAAUCUGUAAUUAUAAUUACUAACAAAGGAAACGUGAGAUUAUCAUGCGUCAAUAAGAUGCGACCAAUCUACAGUAAUAUAAUAAUAGUAUUGACAAUUUGAGGUUUCAAAUAAGUGCAAUGUAGCACUGGUUCAAAGUUCAAACUGGUCUUCUUCAAAGUUCAAACAUGUCUUACAAUUCUUUACCCCCCUAAGACUGCCACGUUAUUUUACACUUUUGGUACUUCAUGCCGCCGGAUUAAGGUUUAGGAUUUAGAACAUAAUGGCAGUGCCUAGUGUUUAAUAAUAGCGUUUAAUGUUCCGUAACUAAUACUUAAAAUAUAAUAAAAAUAUUAUCAUAUCAUAAAUAAUAUUUAGAAUACAUUUGGUGGUAUCUUUCGCGCGCGGCACUCUAUUUGAGGGGCACCGGCAGAACGGGCACGGCCGUUAGGGGGACGGCAAGCGUGAGAGCUUGGGCGAACUUAUCAGAGAGGUCGACGUCGCCGGAACUCCUCCGGCUCCGCCCACACCUCCGGGUCCCGCCCGAUCGCCCACACGUUCACCAUCACCCGCGCCUCGCUCGGCACCGCGAACCCCGCCACCUCCACGAAGCCAACUCCCGUCUCCGUCUCGGACGGUUUGCGCGGGAGCAGCAGCGGGCCCACCGGGUGCAGCCGCAUCGUCUCCUUCAUCACCGCUUGCAGAAACGGGAGACGCGCAACGUCGGAUUCCUCGAAUUCUUCCUUCGGCCCCAGCGUCUCCUGUAGCUCGGCGCGCGCCUUCGCGAGCACCGCAGGGUUGCGGAGCAGCUCCGCCAUCGCCCACUCCACCGUCUUCGAGCUUGUGUCGCUCCCCGCCGCAAAGAAGUCCUAAAUCAAUGCAACUCUCGACGGUAUUAAAAGCUUCCGGUAGAGCAGAAAGCCCUACGAGGAAACUGAAACUCCAUAGAGGCUGAUACUGUGAGAGCGAAAAUUAUUAGGAAUAGCGUAGCUAUAAAUUAUUUUACUAAUUUUUUUAUUUUCAUCCUCCGGACUAACUAAUAGAUUUUUUUUUUCCAUAUAAAUUUUAAAUUAUCUCUGUGGUUUAGUUUAUUUUUGAAUAAACUUUAAAUACCACCUCUAUAGUUUUAUACUUUCUCACUUUAUAACUUGUGGUUUAAAAUAUAUCAAGUUAGUGUCUCGUGGUUUCAUUUUUAUUUUUUCGCCAGUUUUUUCGUUAAUAUUUCGUUAAAUUAUAUAAAAAAACUUAAGAUACCCCACGUAGGUUUAUCGAAUAUUCACUUUAGUACCCUUUAGUUUUAAUUUUGUUGCUGAUUUAACGAAAAAAAUUAGUGGAAUCAAUAAUAAAAAGUUAAAAUAAAACCACAAGUCACAAAUUGAUACACUUUAAACUAUAGGGUACUAAAGUAAGAAAGUGUGAAACCACAGGGGUGGCAUUUGAAGUUUUUUCUUUAUUUUUUCUUUCUUAAUUUGUAGUUUUAAGAAUUUCACUUUUAUCUCCUUUUAAUUUAAUUUAAUCUUUUAUUUUAUAAAAAAUAGGGUACUAAAGUAAGAAAGUGUGAAACCACAGGGGUGGCAUUUGAAGUUUUUUCUUUAUUUUUUCUUUCUUAAUUUGUAGUUUUAAGAAUUUCACUUUUAUCUCCUUUUAAUUUAAUUUAAUCUUUUAUUUUANGCAUAUUUUUUCUUUCUCAAUUUGUAGUUUUAAGAAUUUCACUUUUAUCUCCUUUUAAUUUAAUUUAAUCUUUUAUUUUAUAAAAAAUAUUAUAUGAAAUAGUAUGACAAAAUAAAAAUUUUAAACAAACUAUUGGAUGACAAAAUAAAAAAUAUGCUAAAUUAAAAGAGUAAAGUAUAACUUUUUUAAUCGUGUGAUAACAAAAUAAAAAUAAGCUAAGCUAUAGAGGAAUAAAAAAAAUUUGAAAUAGAAUGAUAAAGUAAAAAUAAGCUAUUUCACUAGAAAGACAAUUUAAAAUUUACUUAUUUAUAUUAAUUUAUUAUCUAGUUUAUUUAUUUUUUAUUUAUAAACUUAUGAAUUAAAAAUUACAAAAACUUCUCCGUCUUUCAUGGAAGAGUGGGGUCCACCACAUCCUAUUUGUCGUGUGGGGGUCUACCCCUCUCUCUCUCUCUCUCUCUCUCUUUUUCUUAUUUUUUUCUGCACUCUAUCAUCGGCAGUCCCACUCACACUUCCUCAUCUUUUUUAUUUUUUGAUAAUACAUUUCUUACCCUUCCUCACUUCACCUUCUUCUAUCAAUCACACACACACAGGAAAGAGAGAGAGAGAGAGAAAGAGAGAGAGAGAGAGAGAUAUCACUUUUUUCUAUCAAUCAGAGAGAGAGAGAGAGAGAGAGAGAAUUGGAGGAAAAAAAAAUUUCCAAACACGAAACACUCCUCUUCCUUCUCCUCUCGAUCCUCUUCUCCCUCACCCCUUCUCACUACUGUGAAGAAGGAGAAAUGGAAGCCCUAAUAGUGGAUCGAAUCUUGUAAAACAACCGUUGCACUCUAAAAGCUUAAACUGUUAGAAAACGGUAUUUAAACAUUUUUAUAUUUAACACUCCCCCUCACGUUUGGGCUCGAGACUAUUUAAUCGGCUCAUGACGUGGGCUUGAAUUAAAUGGGAGAAAAUUAAUAUGUUAGGAGCCUGGCGUGACUCGAACUCAAGACCUCCUGCUCUGAUACCAUGUAAAACAACCGUUGCAGUCUAAAAGUUUAAGCUAUUAGAGAACGGUGUUUAAACAUUUUUAUAUUUAACAAAUCCACAUAAGCCUCCACCCCUCCGUGCACCGGAACACCAUUUUCCUUUGCAAGUGCGUCUAUGCCGAGUUUCCCUCCGAGGUCCUCACUUCUUAUCCCCUAUUUUUCAAUUUUUUUUUUUUUGUUUGUGCGUUGUUGUUAUUUUUUUGGAGCAACUGAGAUGAUGUUUUGGAGUAUCUAGAGCUAAUUCCUUUGGUAGAUCGAGCGGCAGAAGCAAUUACUGUAUUUGUUCUUCCAAUAGCUAAAAUCACUUUUAUAUUUCCAGAAGCGUUUAGGCGUACCUUUAUUCUCUUCAUAGUAAUGGUUUUUUUUUUUUAUUUCACCAAAAAGAAGGUUGUGAUUGAAAACGGCUGUUUGUGACCUCAGAGAAAACAAUUAAGAUAUGAUUAGAAGGUAAUUGAUUGAGAACUACAUACCGUGAGGAGAGUUAUGAUCUCUCGCCGUUGAAGCUUGGAUUGGGAGUGCAGCUCUAGAAGGGAGUCCAAGAAAUCACCCUUCUUCUCUGCGCCGGAGUUCAUUUCGGCCAAGCGGUGGUCAAAUAUGUCGCCGAAGAACUCGUAGAACCUUCUAAGGUAGCUGGCAUUGACGCGGCGCCGGCCUUGUAGGUCGAGCAAUCGGAAAAAGGGAAAGAAGUCCGAGAAGUUCAGCCUCCCGAUCUCCUCGAUGAAGCUCGAGACCAGCCGCUUGAAUUCUUGGUUAGAUGCCUCUUCGGCCGAUCUGAGGUCCACCACAUCCUCCGAGAAGAAGAUGUUGGAGAUGAUGUUGAGCACCGCAUUGAAUACCACAUUGCGAAUCCUAUUAGUACAACAACAUAUUUCUCAAUGCUCAAACUUGAACAAUAUUAAUAAAUUAUUUUAUAUAGUAUCGUAAUGGAAAAUUCUAAAUUAAAAUUUUAUGAGACCACUUAAAUUUAAAAUAUUUGUCUGGCUAGUAUUGAAACGUAAGAAACUCACGGUAGACAAUCUUCGAAAAAGAUGUUGGACUAGAGAGCAGAAUUGUAUACUCUUCAUAAAAAAGGAAGAGAUGAUUCAUCAUUUUUUCGCCGCAUGAGAAGUGGCCAAAAUUUUAUUAGAAUGCUUGAUGUCAAAUAAGAAGAGAAUACACUGUAGUACUUCAGGUUACAUUCUUUGGGAGACGAGUCGACUUAGAGGAGGCUCAAUAAGGUAGAAGGAAAUAGCGACAAAUGCUUGCAUUUGGUGGGUUAUCUGGCUCGAACAGAAUAGACGUAUUUUCCAAAAGAAAAAGCACUUGCAAAAUCAGAUAUUAGCCGACGUCCGUAUGGCUCGAAAUCAGUGUGCUAAACUUCGGGUAUUAUAACACCUUCUCUUACGAGUCUCCAACGGUGCGUCUAAUUUCGUCGUUUUUCUUGUCUUGUAUAAAGGAUCUAUACUCCUCUCCUUUUCCUUUUUUUCUUUCUUUGUGUUUUUCUUUUUCUACUCCUUUCCUAGAGGCCUGGUUGUCUCAUUGUGUAAUUGAAUGAAGCGGUAGCAUGUUACCAAUUUUUCAAAAAAAAUUUAUGAGACGUCUGCUCUUAUUUAAUAUUUACUCUCUAUUUUUUAUACAAAUUUGCAAUUUGGUUCUUUUAAAAAAAUUUUCAAGUCAAUUAAAUAUAAAAUAAUUAAGUAUAAUUUUCUAUGGCUGCGUAUAAUUGUUUAUUCCAAGAACAGAUAAAUUUGUAUCCGAUUAUAUCAGUUUAUUUUAGGAAUGAGGGUGGAACAGCUGUUCUAAAAUUAUAUCAGAUUAUACCAGUUUAUUUCAGACAUAAAAGAAAAACUAUUAUUUUUGAAUACCAAAAUUAAUGUUCAGAACAAAAGGGGAAAUAAGUUUCCGAAUAAAAAGCUAGCUAAAAGUUUACACUCACAUAAGAUUCCCUGAAACUAUAGAACUAGAUUGAAUCGAAAGUACGAAUUCACUAAAAAAAAUUUUUGGAAAGAUUCGUUAGGGUUCAUAAAAUAACUCAAAGUAUAAAUUAAUAGAAUAUUAUGAUUUUAGACAACAACGAUAGUUUCACUUAAUUACCUGACGGGCUGUCCGGCGCGGCAACGGAGGUUUGCGACGAGCUCGCGGGCCGGGCGCUCGCGCACGGCGCGCGUGGCGUCGAGGCUGCGGGGGAAGAAGAUGUGGGUGGUGAUGACGGCGCGGAGGUGCUUGCGCAGGGGGUCGCCCGUGGGGAGCCAUAGGGUGGAGGUCUCGUGAUGGCCGAGGGCGCGCAUGGCGUCGGGGACCCAGCGCCCCGAGAGGGCCUGGUCCUUCUUCUGAAGGACCUCGCGCGCCGCGGCGGGGGAGGAGACCACCACGGUGGUGGUGAGGCCGAGCCUCACGGACAUGACCGGCCCGUAGACCCGCGCCAGGCGCGCGAGGGAGCGGUGCGGCUGCGCGCCCACGUCGAGGAUGUUGCCGAUGAUCGGUAGCGGCGUCGGCCCCGGGGGGAGGGGGAGGGGGAGUGCUCCGGUUUUCCCCGCUCCCGGGCUUAGCUUCCGCUUGACAAGGUAGAGAAAUGAGAGGAUGAGUGAGAUCCAAAGAAAGGAAAUUGUGAACUCCAUUUUUCCGCGGAGAUGGUACAUGGAUAUGGUAUGUAGAGCAGGUUAUCUUUAUAUAUAGCUCUGUUUCCAGGGAGGAAGAGUGAUAAUUUAGUUUAAUCUCGCUGAAGUGGCAAAAUGCAAAGCGAAAGAGGGACAUCAAACCAAUCAGAUCAAAAAUAUAUAGUAUAAAGAAAGUGAUGUCCUAACUUCCAUAUAUAUCAUACACUAGUAAAAUACCCGCGCGAUGCUGCGGAUAUAAAAAUAUUUUUAUAAUAAAUUUUAAUUUUUUUAAUAUUUUUAUAUAGUUUUAUAAAUCUAAUUAUUAAUUAAAUAAAAGUUAUAUAAAAAUAAUUUAAUAGUUAAAUCUAUUUAAAUAAAAGUCAUUAAAAUUGGUAUAUGCGCAAAGUAAUUUAUACAAUAGUUUAUUUUAUAAAAAAUUAUAUGAAAAGGGAAUUGCAGAUAAUUCUAUCGGCAAAAUAAUUUAAAAAUAAAUCAAUAAGUAGAAGGAAAAAAAAAUUGCAGAAGUAAUUGUUUAAUAAAAUUAAUUUUAUAUACAACAUACACUAUAUUUUAAAAAUUUUACUCCUGAAACUUAAUUCCGUAUUUUUUUUAUACAAUGAAAUUUUAUGUGAUUUAAAUUUCAUCUAUCAAAUUAGAUUUUAUUAUGCGAUUUAUUAUGUGUAUUUUUAAUAAAAUUAUUAUUAUAUUGUAUAAAACUAUUAUUAAUAAAUUUAAUUGAUUAAUUAAUUUCAUAGAGUUUAGAGAUUUAAAUUUAAACUUUGAAGCUUAAAUUUAGCAAAUAAAUAAUAUAAGCUGAAAAAUAAAUUUAAAUUAAUAGUAACAUAGUAAAAUUAGAUAAAUUGCAAACUUUAAAAAUUUUGAAGUUUACAAAAUGCUUAAAAUUUAGAAAUAAAUAUGUAUUGAGUAAGAAUUUAGAAUUUAAAAUUUAAAAUAAAAAAAUAUAAAAAUUAGAAAUUUAAAACUUUAAAAUUUGGAAGUAAUCAACCAAUUUUAUACUUUGAUAAAAAAAAUUUUUAAAACUUUAUAUAUAUGUAUAUAUAAAUAAAUAGAAGGAAAAUAAAAUGAAGAGAUAUUGUUUAAUAAAUUAAUAUAAUAUACAACGUUACACUAUAUUUUUAAAAUUUGUUACUCCUGAACUUAAAUCCGGUAUUUUUUUAUACAUGAAAUCUUUAUGUGAUUUUAAUUGCUAUCUAUAAGGAUUAUGAUUUUAUUAUUGCGGUAUAUGGUGUUUUUGAAAAAAUUAAAGAUAUGGAAUAUAUACUAUAUUAAUUAAUAAUAAUUAAUUAAUAGGAUGAGGUAAAAAUGUUGAAGCUUAAAUUAAGAAAUAAAAAAUAGUAAAAAAUAAAUAUAUAAAAAAAAUUUAAAGAAAAUUAAAACAUAAAAUUUUGAGUUUUAAAAAGCUUAAAUUUAGAAAUGGUAUAUAAUAAGUAGAGAAGGAAUUAAAAUUAAAUUAAAAAAUAUAAAAUUAGAAUUUAAAACUUUAAAAUUUGAAGUAUCAAAUUUUUAUUUUUGAUAAAAAUUAUUUAAUAAUAUAUAUAUAUUAUAUUAAUUAUUAUAUUUUAUAUAGGAAGAGAGAAGGGGGUUUGGAGGCACGUUUGCACCGGUCCCUCAAACUCCUUUAUGUAGUUAGAUUAGAUAGAUUGUGAGCAGAGGAAAAAUGUCGAAUUAAGCACCUUCCAUAAGUGUUAUGCACGGUGUGACGUGUGCACUGAGUGACACAUGUACGAAGGAAACGGAGAAACAUCCUAUUUAUGAAGUGGUAAUGAGAAUUCAAUAUAAUGGGCUGUUUAGUUCCCAUUUAUUCAUUGUUGCUGAAUUAAUUUUAACUUAAAGAAUUGAUUUUGAUUUACAGUUACAUGUAACAUUGGGCUGGUCCAAAAAAAAAUUGUAAUUUUUCUGAGGUAAUUUUAUGAAAUCACUAGACAAAAUAUUUUUACUGCUUCAAAAUAAUAUUUUUUUUUUCAAAUUUUAUUUUAAAAUUUAAAUUAAAAUUAAAUUCGACUUUAAAAUUUAAAUUUUUAAUUUAAAAAAUAAACCAAAAUUUAAAAUUGUUAUUUGAAUUUAAAAGAUAAAGUUAAAAUUAAAAAUUUUAAAUUUUAAAUUAAAAAUCUGAACCUAAAAUGUGAUUUUUUUGAGAGAGAUAGGAAGUAUGGUUACCCACUUUGGACUUAAUUUAGAAAUAAAUUUUGCUAAAAUUUGAAAAUUUACAAAUUAAAACUAACCUCUAAAUUUAAAUUAAAAUUAAAAGUUUCAAACAUUUAAAUUUUAAAAUUUAAAAUUUUAAAAUUUAAGAUUUAAAAUUAUGAAAUUUAAAAUUUAAAUUAUAAAAUAACAAAUUUUGAAAUUCCACAAUUUAAAAUUUAAAAUUUAAAUUCAAAAUUCAAAAUUUAAAUAAAAUAUUGAAAUUGAAAAUUAAAAAUUGCCAAUUAAAGUUUUAUUUAAAAUUUAAAAGUUAAAAUUUAAAAUUUAAAAUUUAAACUUCUUUGGCUCUCUAAGUAUCAGUCUAUUUACAAUAAGAAAUACUCAAGUGUACCUCACUUUUGGGCAACCUAUUAUAUUGUUAAUGUGUUGGCCUACAGAUAUAGUCAUAUAGUGGGUUUAAAGUUUAGUGUUUAAAAUAUAAUCAUAUUGCUUAAGAUUUAACUAGUUUAGAGAGCCAGGCGAUGCGACAGAUAGGCAUUAUUACAAAUAUAUUUUUUUGUUACCAAAUAGUUUUGAAAUAAAUUCAAAAAAAAAAUAGAGGCAAUUUUCAAUUAGAAUUCAGUGUAAAACUUGAAGAGGAGACGAUUUUCGCCAUACAAAAUUCAAUAUAAGUAAAUAUGACAAAAAAGGGCUUCCAUCUGUGAAAAUGAAUCAAUCAAUUCACCAAUUAUACCAAAAAGAUCCAUAUGAAGUUAGAUUCAACCGACUACUUACAACUUAAUUGACUGAAAUUAGUUGAUUGAAAUUAUAGGAACAUUAAUUUGUGAUAUAAUUUGAACUUGAGCCAAAGAGAUUGAUAGCCAGAUUUUCAUUUCGAACAUAAUCGAAUCGCCCUAACAUAAAUUCCACCAUGGAGGUGGAAAAUAAUUUUGAUUUCGAAAGAGCGAAGAAUAAAAACUUUUUUCUGCACUACUGAUUAUUUAAAUAUCAAUCUUUAAAUGUCUGCAAAGUGCAUAAUAUCUGUUGAAAUCUUAGUUGUAAUAAUUUAACCUCUCAUUCCUUCUUUGCAGGGAAGUAUUUUUCUAGAAUUUACCAAAUUGUGCAAAGAUCUUACUGUCAUACUUAUUAUUGGAUUUGUCUUACUGCAAGUCUUGCCUUCAGCUGUCGUUUAUUUUGCACUUAUUCAUGCAAGGCAAAGUUUACUAUUUAAGAUGGAAACAUAGUUUAAAUGUUAAAUCUAUUUAUUUUUAAUAAUGGCUAAUAAAUAUCUCCCUAUGUUGUUUGUGCUCCUAAAUACCUUUUCUUAGGUGGGUUGAGGUAGUUUCUAUCAGAUAGAGUUGUUCUGCAGGAAUGGCCUCCAGAAAUAUCUGGACUGCAGGUCAGCUAUAGCUUAUAAAGGAUCUUUUAUUUAUUGAAUUUCUCUUAGACUAGCUCAUUUAACUUGCUUCAUUGUGUUAGAAUUUUAGCUGUUAUUGUUCCUUUUUCUGGCUUUUGCAUGUUUAAACUAUGAUAUGUUUUUAUUUUCUUUAAUUUUCAGAAAAUAUUACUCGAUAUUUUUAAGCUAACUGGUCAGCAUACGGGUAGUUUUUGGUUAGCUUAUAACCUUAGACUCAAAAGUCUUUGCAGCAAACAGAUUUUAAUUGUUGCAGAAAUGAUAAGAAAAGUGGAGAUUAGAAUUAGUGCUGUUGGUUAGGUUAUCUUUUGUAAAAGUGCUAACCUUGCAACCAUGGGUUCAACCUGCAACCGUGGGUUCAAAUCUCCCUUGGAGCAAAAAUUUUGCCUUUUUUGAAAUCGUACACUCAAUAUAAUUUUUACUUUAGCAAAAUCUGUAGGAGGAAUUCCGGUCGUACCUUAGAGUGGUAUUUUCGAUUAAUCCGGCACGAAGGCACAGAAAAAUUCAAUUGUUAUUAAAAUCUAACUAAUUUGUGAUGAUAAUUAAAUAAAUCAACUUACAAAUGAUUGCUAAAUUUCAAAAAAGAAAAUUAUGGAAGAAAAAUAUCAAACAAUUGAUCCGGAAGCGUACGAGACACUGCUCUAAGGCGUAUUUCCGUCCUUCGUGCGGGAUUAACCGAAAACACCGUCCCAAGAUAUGAUCGGAAUUUCUCCUCCUAUGUACACGAACGCGGGAGAGAUUGACGGAGUUUCUUUCAACACUCAGCGAUAAAGAUAUCAAAUAAAAUAAACUUAAAAUUAAAAUAAAAAAUUCUUGUCUCUUUUUCUUCCCUCUACUAUGUUCAUCUCUGUGAACAGUACAUAAAACAUGGCUCUCUGUCAUGUGUUCUACAAACUCAUGGACAGUGGAGUCCACUCUAUAAAAGCAGAGGUGAAGAAGAAAAAAAACAUUGCACAACGUUCCACUGUGGAACGUCUGCGCCCACUUCGCGUUCGCGCGCGAGCAAGCGUGAGCAAAUCUUAACAAACGCGCAUGAACAUAAAAAUAAAUAAAAAUAAUAAAUUAAAUAAUAAAAAAGAAUAAAAUAAUUAAUGAAUUAAAAAUAAUAAUUAUUAAAAAAUUUUGAAUUUUUCAUCAACAAAAUCAUAAUUUACCUAUGAAUCAGCAAAAAAAUAAAAUAAAAUAAAAUACCACGCAUGAACUGCAUGCUUCCUAUUAUGGUGAAGUGGGAAUUUGGUAAUUGAGAAGAGUAUACUCAAACCCCACCUAUCAUUUGAUACAUUUAUUAAAUUCUAAUGGGGCUCUCAGGGUUAAUUCAUGAGAAGGGAGGUGCAAAUUUGAUUAAAGAGUCUCUACAGAUGUGUCUUGCAGACCCAAUGUCCUUCAUAUAUAAUUGACAAUCACUGAUUCACUGUAGCUUCUUUUUUUUUUUGUCAUGUUUUGAUUUUCUAUGAUAGUGCUAUGUGAAUUUGGCUAUUUCAAAAAAUCCAGUUCAUGCAAACGCACGAUAUUAUAUUAACAAAUUAAAGUUUAAAAACUUAAUUAUAAUUAUUUAAUUACUUUAUCUAUAUAUUGUGAUUUAAUCUUUUACACUAUUUGUAUAAUUAUUUACUGUUUUUCAAUUUAGGCACCGGUAAAUAUCUGAAGGUCUUGGACCUUUGAACUUUUUUUUUAUUUCCUGUAGCGAAUAAUUUUACCAAAUCUUUUGAAGAAAUAUUUUUAUGUAGGAUCUUGCAAAUGAGAUUUUCAAGUUAUUCACAGCAACACAAAUUGGAAAAGUCUUCUUCAUGACCAAUGAUUUGCAGGUUUGUAUUGUCUCAAGAAGUUGGUAGUAAUCAUUUAGGAUUUAUUGCGGCAAUUACAUUUCGAUCUAACUAUUCCUCGCAAAACUACUACCGCGACCGUUUACUUGCAUAUUUUUUUUCGUAAAUACAACAUUAGCAUCCAAUAGCUUUCUUUUCAGGAAAUAUAAGUCUGCAAUUGUAUAUAAAGCUAGAUGAUAAGCAAAACCCGAUUGUAUAGAUUACAAACACAAUCCAUCACCCUCAAAUCAUUCAAUAACAUGAAUUUAAGUUUAAGUUUAAGUUUAAGUUUAAGUUUAUGAGAAAUAAUUAAAAAAGCAUGAUCAAUACCAAACAAGAUAUUAGUUACCCAUAGAGAGUGUCCAAUAUAAAGCUCGAUUUGACUCACUAAUAAUAUUUUAGAGGUGGGUGGGGUUUACCUUCUAUAGCAUUAUAUAAUUUUUUAAAUAAAUUUCGAAACACAUUAAUUUUCUCAUUUAUCACAUUUAGAUUGUGCUAUCAUAUUUAUUUUCGUUUGAUUGUGGGACAAAGUAACGAAUAAUUGGUACUGUUUACUCAAAUUUUAUCUUUAGCCUGAAAAUGACUUUGCACCAUUCAAAUCUUGGAAUCUUUGAUUGUGUUUGAUUUGGCAAAGUAUCUACUACUGAAUGGUCGUUGUUAUUGCAGACCAAUAAUCACACAAUCAUUUUGAUACAGACAUCUCAAAAUAGGACAACCAGAACAUUCAUGAAUUAUAGUUUAAUUAGUCAAACCAUGAAUAGUACGUAUAUUCAUUAUUUACACAACAACUCAUUUGCAAUUUUAAAAUAUAUUUUCAAUUGAUUUUUUAUAUUAUAAAGGACUCAUUAAAAUACUUAUAUUAAAUCAUUUGGCAUACUAUCCUUGACUAGGAUAUAAUUUUACUGUACUAGAAUUUAGUAACUUUGUCUUUUUUCUUUAUAUACAGCGUCUUUUUCCUAUUCAUUGAAAGCAUCGAUUGUUCUUUAUUUUUUCUUCUCUUUGAAAACAUUGAUAGCUCUUGAUUUUUCUUCUAUCUCUUGCAGUGCGUAGUGUUUGUACUGUUGAACAAAUAAUGGGAUUGCCUUAGAUCUAAUUACUAUAAUAUUUAUUUGGUCAUUGAGACCUGACUAAUACAUUGGCUACAUGGUUAGAUACUUAUUUAUUUCAUACUUGUCAGCUAUUGUAUUAUAUUUGUCUCUUCAUAUGUGUUAAAAAACAUAGGCCAAUUUGUAUAAAAAAUUUAUUAGGUUUGAGAUUUUGCAAAAAUAAAUCGUCUUUUUAGAUUUUGCAAAUUCGAAAUGAAUUUUCAAAAAACUGACCAAAAUACCCUUAUUCGCUUUUCUCUCAUUCUUUUUCUUCUUUCACUCAGAAGAGGGCGGUGGAGGCGGAGGUGGAGGAGAGGCAGAGGCUGCCCGCCUCGCCUCUGUCUCACGUGCCCUCGCUCUCGUCCUCGGCCUCGCCCUCGCCCGCACACCCUACCUUCGCCUUCCUCGCCUCCCCUCCUGCCGAGGCCACGUCUCGACCUUCUUCUUUUUUUUCUCUCUCUNUCUUUUUUUUUUUUUCUCUCUCUCUCCGACCUUCCUCCACCGCCUUCCCGGCUCUUUAAAAUAGGAAAGAGGGUAGCGUUAUGUCCUCUUCCUCACCUUUGUUUUCUCUUUUUUUUUUUUUUUCUCUUCAACCCUUCUCUACCGCCUCCGCAACCCUUCACGACGAUAACGAAGGCAAUGCCGCAACCUCUUCCUCCACCUUCGCCGGUGUAGGCACCGACAUCGGUGUCGGAGAAGGAUGACUCGGAGCAAGUGCGGGUGAGAGCUACCCGAAAAAAAUAAUUUGUAGAAAAUAAAAAAUAAAAAGAAUAAAAAAUAAAAUAUAAAGAAAAAUAAUUUUUUCUACAAAAAAAAGAAUAACAAAAGAGAAAAGAAAAAGAUGAUGAAUUUGCACUAUUUCAAGGAAUGUUGCAUUAUUUUUACUCUCUUUAAGAGAAAAAAUAUUUUUUGGAUGAAAAUUACACUCUUUGAAUAAAAAUUAUACUAUUAGGACAAAAAUUACACUAUUUAGCCAGAAAUAGGAGAAGGAGAAGGAGGAGAAAUAGUGCAAUUUUCGGCCAAAUAGUACAAUUUUCUAUCAAAGAGUGAAACUUUCGUUCAUAGAGUGCAAUUUUAUCUAAAAAAAGUAUAUUUUUUCUCUCAAAAAGUGUAAAUUUUUUAAAAAAUAGUGCAACGUUUUUAUGAAAUAAUGCAACAUUCUUUUGAAAUAGUACAAAUUCAUCAUCUUCUGCUUUUCUCUUUGAUUUUUUAUUUUUCUUGUAGAAAAAACUAUUUUUCUUUAUAUUUUAUUCUUUAUUCUUUAUAUUUUUUAUUUUCUGCAUAUUUUUUCCUCAGCUCUGUUCUUACCUGCACUUGCUCUGAGUCCUCCUUCUUCGGCAUCGAUGUCGGUGCCUACGCCGGUGAAGGUCGAGGAACAGAAUACUGCACGGUCCUCGUUAUCGUCGUGGAGAGUCGUAGAGGUGGUAGAUGAGGGUCGAAGAAAAAAAAAAGACCGAGGAGGAGGACGUGAUACUACCUUCUUUACUGUUGUAAAGAGCCGAAGAGGCAGUUGAAGAGUGUUGGAAAGGAAAAAAAAAAGAGUCGAGAUGCGACCUCGAUGGGGUCGAAGGCGAGAAAGGCGAAGGGAGGGUGCACAGGCAAGGCGAGGGCGUGCGGGACCGAGAUGAAGCAGAGCGCAUCCGCCUCCGCCUCCGCCUCUGCACCCUCUUCGGAGAAAAAGAAAAAAAAGGAACGCGAGUAAAAAAGAAAUAAGUGUAUUUUGGUUAGUUUUUUAAAAAUUCGGUCUGGAUCUGUAAAAUCCAAAAAAACGGCCUACUUUUGCAAAAGCUCAAAACUAAUGAAUUUUUUUAUACAAAUUGGCAAAAUAUAUAUAUGUGUACGCACAUUGAUAGUGAAUAAAUUAAGAAAGCAUAUACACAAAUUGGCAGGUAAACAAAAGUAAAUAUAUAUAGAAGCAUUACGGAUUGGAGAACUUAAAACAAUUAGGGACAAAUGACGGCAAAUCAACCGCAGAAAAUUAAGAAAUUCAUGAUUAAUAGAGAUCAAUAUCAACAUAAAAUUUAUUAUAUGAUAAAUAAAUCAUAGCAAACAAACAAAGCAACAAAUUCAAAUCAAACCUGUCGAAUAUGAUUAACCAUUACAGCCAAGUGCAGACAAUUUUCUGAGACAAAAUACAUAGUAUUCACUAUUUUUAGGGGAAAACAAUGCGGUAAGUAGGCAAACUAAUUAAAAUUGCAAAAAAAAUGAAAGGCUCACAUCAUGUCCAGUUAAAAGAGGCGGCACAGGUAUUGCCUGUUUGAGCCUUUCAUUCGCAAUCUGCCGAUAAAUCCCAACUUAGUUUCAGAUAAAAGAUUGACAAAGGUAGUAAUUAUAAAUUUUACAUUUACAAUGUUUGUUCCUAUAGAAAAUGCUGGAUUCUGAUACGGCUUUGAAAAAAUGAAUAGAUAAGUAAAUAAUUAAAUUUUAGGGAUGUUCGAAGAAUUGUGAGUUCAAUGAUUAGCAUAAAGUUGGAUAAAUAAAACUAUUGAUAUCUUCCGAAAUAUCUAGAAUAAUAUGAUCGGAAGUUGACAUAUAAGAAAAAGAAGAGGAAAUAAAGAAUCUUACCCAAGGGUGUGCGGCGGCAUAAUCUUCGAUAUGCUCGACAUGUAAUCGAGUCAACCAUAAUCCAAAUAAAACAUCCGGAAUAGAGUACAUUUGCUGCAUAGAAAAAAUUGAUGAAUGAUCUAUUAUAUAGCCAACAAAAAUAAUGGAAAGGAUGUAAAACAAUUCUUCGGAUUCAAUGAAUAUAGAAAUCCGUUGCGGCGUAAGAUCGGAGGAGCUGAGAAGACAAUAAAUUAGAACCCUUUUUUUGGCAAGAGAAGGAUAUGGAAACGAAGCGCCGCAAUCCAUAACAACAGGGACGGAAGAAGGAUCGAACCAAGUCGGAGUGACAAAUCUAGGGCGACGAACCAAGGUCUAAGGAUGCAUGAACCGGUUUGAUCAAUAAGAAAAUAGACUUAUUCAAUGGAAGAAAAUUAGUAGCCGAUUUAUCUUUCCAUGUGUGAACCAAAAAUAAAUGAGUAGAUAGAAACUGAUAGGUGGGGUCGAAGGACCUAUAAUCUAUAAACUUAAAUUUAAGUGACAAUUAUGUCUCACAUUAGCCCAGAUUAACCAAAUGGUGCCACGUGGACAAAGAUUAUAGGAUUUAAUAUAGGUUUAUAGACGAUUCAAUGGAAGAAAAUUAAUGGCCGGUUUAUCUUCCCAUGAGUGAACCGAAAAUACAUGAGUAGAUAAAAACUGAUAGGUGGGGUCGAAGGACCUAUAAUCUAUAAACUUAAAUUUAAGUGAUAGGUAUGUCCCACAUUAGCCCGGAUUAACCAAAUGUUGCCACGUGAAUGAAGAUUAUAGGAUUUAAUAUAGGUUUAUAGACGAUUCAAUGGAAGAAAAUUAGUGGCCGGUUUAUCUUUCCAUGAGUGAACCGAAAAUAAAUGAGUAGAUAAAAACUGAUAGGUGGGGUCGAAGGACCUAUAAUCUAUAAAAUUAAAUAUAAGUGCUAGGUAUGUCCCACAUUAGCCCGGAUUAACCAAAUGCUGCCACAUAGACAAAGAUUAUAGGAUUUAAUAUAGGUUUAUAGACGAUUCAAUGGAAGGAAAUUAGUGGCCGGUUUAUCUUCCGAUGAGUAAAUCGGAAAUAAAUGACUAUAAACUGAUAGGUGGGGUCAAAGAAUCUAUAAUUUAUAAACUUAAAUUUAAGUGAUAGGUAGGUUCCACAUAAGCCCGGAUUAACCAAAUGCUACCACGUUGGACAAAUAUUAUAGAAUUUAAUAUAGAUUUAUUUAUUUAUUUAUAGAUUUAUAGAUAUAAAUUAUAGAUUAUAGAUGAAAGGAAAUUAGUGGCCGAUUUAUCUUCCCAUGAGUGAACUGGAAAUAAAUGAAUACAUAUAAACUGAUAGGUGGGGUCAAAGGAUCUAUAAUCUAUAAACUUAAAUUUAAGUGAUAGGUAGGUCCCACAUAAGCCUGGAUUUACCAAAUGCUGCACGUGGACAAAGUUUAUGGAAUUUAAUAUAGAUUUAUAGAUUAUAGACGAUUCAAUGGAAGGAAAUUAGUGGCCGGUUUAUCUUCCCAUGAGUGAACCGGAAAUAAAUGAUUAGAUAAAAACUGAUAGGUGGGGUCAAUGGACCUAUAAUCUAUAAAAUUAAAUUUAAGUGACAGGUAGGUCCCACAUAAGUCCGGAUUAACCAAAUGCUGCCAGGUGGACAUAGAUUAUGGGAUUUAAUAUAUCUUUAUGUUUAUAGAUUAUAGAUUAUAGAUAUUGUUUGGUAAUUAAUUAUUAAAAUAUA